CUAAUACUUCCUCCGUCCGAAAAUACUUGUCAUCAAAAUUAAUCAAAAAAAAUGGACCUAGAACUAAAAUACGUCUAGAUACAUCCCCUUUUAUCCAUUUUGAUAAAAAGUAUUUCCGAACGGUCGGAGUAACAU
Molecule: non-coding RNA, 135 nt
Organism: Triticum aestivum (bread wheat)
Lineage: Eukaryota; Viridiplantae; Streptophyta; Magnoliopsida; Poales; Poaceae
Source: Rfam